CUCCUACGGGAGGCUGCAGUGGGGAAUUUUGGACAAUGGGGGCAACCCUGAUCCAGCCAUGCCGCGUGAGUGAAGAAGGCCUUCGGGUUGUAAAGCUCUUUCGGCCGGGAAGAAAUCGCAUAGGUUAAUACCCUGUGUGGAUGACGGUACCGGAAUAAGAAGCACCGGCUAACUACGUGCCAGCAGCCGCGGUAAUACGUAGGGUGCGAGCGUUAAUCGGAAUUACUGGGCGUAAAGCGUGCGCAGGCGGUUUAGUAAGGCAGGCGUGAAAUCCCCGGGCUCAACCUGGGAACUGCGCUUGUGACUGCUAAGCUAGAGUACGGCAGAGGGGGGUGGAAUUCCACGUGUAGCAGUGAAAUGCGUAGAGAUGUGGAGGAACACCAAUGGCGAAGGCAGCCCCCUGGGCCGAUACUGACGCUCAUGCACGAAAGCGUGGGUAGCAAACAGGAUUAGAUACCCUGGUAGUCCACGCCCUAAACGAUGUCAACUAGGUGUUGGGUGGGUAAAACCAUUUAGUACCGUAGCUAACGCGUGAAGU
This 538-nucleotide ribosomal RNA is filed under the name uncultured bacterium. Its description in RNAcentral is "bacterial SSU rRNA". It matches the Rfam family "Bacterial small subunit ribosomal RNA", at positions 336 to 865 of the family's 1533-position model. The record is from RNAcentral.